Molecule: ribosomal RNA, 332 nt
Filed under: uncultured bacterium
Lineage: Bacteria
Description: bacterial SSU rRNA
Rfam family: Bacterial small subunit ribosomal RNA
Source: RNAcentral
CGUGUAGGCGGUUGGUCAAGUCUGAUGUGAAAGCCCGGGGCUCAGCUCCGGAAGUGCAUCGGAAACUAGCCAGCUGGAGCGCGAUAGAGGAGGGCGGAAUUCCUGGUGUAGCGGUGAAAUGCGUAGAUAUCAGGAGGAACACCGGCGGCGAAGGCGGCCCUCUGGAUCGUUGCUGACGCUGAGACGCGAAAGCGUGGGGAGCAAACAGGAUUAGAUACCCUGGUAGUCCACGCUGUAAACUAUGGGUACUAGGUGUUCGGGGUAUUGACCCCCUGAGUGCCGCAGCUAACGCAUUAAGUACCCCGCCUGGGGACUACGGCCGCAAGGUUAAA